AUUGAACGCUGGCGGCAUGCCUUACACAUGCAAGUCGAACGGCAGCACGGGAGCAAUCCUGGUGGCGAGUGGCGAACGGGUGAGUAAAGUAUCGGAACGUGCCCAGUCGUGGGGGAUAACGUAGCGAAAGUUACGCUAAUACCGCAUACGAUCUAUGGAUGAAAGCGGGGGAUCGCAAGACCUCGCGCGAUUGGAGCGGCCGAUAUCAGAAUAGGUAGUUGGUGGGGUAAAGGCUCACCAAGCCGACGAUCUGUAGCUGGUCUGAGAGGACGACCAGCCACACUGGGACUAGGACACGGACACGACGCCUGCGGGGGGCAGCAGUGGGGAAUUUUGGGCAAUGGGCGAAAGCCUGAUCCAGCCAUGCCGCGUGCAGGAUGAAGGCCUUCGGGUUGUAAACUGCUUUUGUACGGAACGAAAAGGUUUGGGCUAAUAAGCUGAGCUCAUGACGGUACCGUAAGAAUAAGCACCGGCUAACUACGUGCCAGCCGCCGCAGUAA
RNAcentral lists this ribosomal RNA (500 nucleotides) under uncultured bacterium. RNAcentral describes it as "partial 16S ribosomal RNA". It matches the Rfam family "Bacterial small subunit ribosomal RNA", at positions 29 to 523 of the family's 1533-position model. The record is from RNAcentral.